Molecule: ribosomal RNA, 497 nt
Filed under: uncultured bacterium
Lineage: Bacteria
Description: partial 16S ribosomal RNA
Rfam family: Bacterial small subunit ribosomal RNA
Source: RNAcentral
GAUGAACGCUGGCGGCGUGCCUAAUACAUGCAAGUCGAGCGAACAGACGAGGAGCUUGCUCCUCUGACGUUAGCGGCGGACGGGUGAGUAACACGUGGAUAACCUACCUAUAAGACUGGGAUAACUUCGGGAAACCGGAGCUAAUACUGGAUAAUAUAUUGAACCGCAUGGUUCAAUAGUGAAAGACGGUUUUGCUGUCACUUUUAGAUGGAUCCGCGCCGCAUUAGCUAGUUGGUAAGGUAACGGCUUACCAAGGCAACGAUGCGUAGCCGACCUGAGAGGGUGAUCGGCCACACUGGAACUGAGACACGGUCCAGACUCCUACGGGAGGCAGCAGUAGGGAAUCUUCCGCAAUGGGCGAAAGCCUGACGGAGCAACGCCGCGUGAGUGAUGAAGGUCUUCGGAUCGUAAAACUCUGUUAUUAGGGAAGAACAAAUGUGUAAGUAACUAUGCACGUCUUGACGGUACCUAAUCAGAAAGCCACGGCUAACUACGUG